GACGAACGCUGGCGGCGUGCUUAACACAUGCAAGUCGAACGGAAAGGCCCUGCUUUUGUGGGGUGCUCGAGUGGCGAACGGGUGAGUAACACGUGAGUAACCUGCCCUUGACUUUGGGAUAACUUCAGGAAACUGGGGCUAAUACCGGAUAGUAGCUCCUGCUGCAUGGUGGGGGUUGGAAAGUUUCGGCGGUUGGGGAUGGACUCGCGGCUUAUCAGCUUGUUGGUGGGGUAGUGGCUUACCAAGGCUUUGACGGGUAGCCGGCCUGAGAGGGUGACCGGCCAAAUUGGGACUGAGAUACGGCCCAGACUCCUACGGGAGGCAGCAGUGGGGAAUAUUGCACAAUGGGCGGAAGCCUGAUGCAGCAACGCCGCGUGCGGGAUGACGGCCUUCGGGUUGUAACCCGCUUUCGCCUGUGACGAAGCGUGAGUGACGGUAAUGGGUAAAGAAGCACCGGCUAACUACGUG
This 468-nucleotide ribosomal RNA is filed under the name uncultured bacterium. RNAcentral's name for it is "partial 16S ribosomal RNA". It matches the Rfam family "Bacterial small subunit ribosomal RNA", at positions 28 to 507 of the family's 1533-position model. The record is from RNAcentral.